RNAcentral lists this ribosomal RNA (508 nucleotides) under uncultured bacterium. RNAcentral describes it as "partial 16S ribosomal RNA". It matches the Rfam family "Bacterial small subunit ribosomal RNA", at positions 28 to 523 of the family's 1533-position model. The record is from RNAcentral.
GAUGAACGCUAGCUACAGGCUUAACACAUGCAAGUCGAGGGGAAACGAUAUUGGAAGCUUGCUUCCGAUAGGCGUCGACCGGCGCACGGGUGAGUAACGCGUAUCCAACCUGCCCACCACUUGGGGAUAACCUUGCGAAAGUAAGACUAAUACCCAAUGAUAUCUCUAGAAGACAUCUGAAGGAGAUUAAAGAUUUAUCGGUGAUGGAUGGGGAUGCGUCUGAUUAGCUUGUUGGCGGGGUAACGGCCCACCAAGGCGACGAUCAGUAGGGGUUCUGAGAGGAAGGUCCCCCACAUUGGGACUGAGACACGGUCCAAACUCCUAUGGGAGGCAGCAGUGAGGAAUAUUGGUCAAGGGGCGGGAGCCUGAACCAGCCAAGUAGCGUGCAGGAUGACGGCCCUACGGGUUGUAAACUGCUUUUAUAAGGGAAUAAAGUGAGUCUCGUGAGACUUUUUGCAUGUACCUUAUGAAUAAGGACCGGCUAAUUCCGUGCCAGCCGCCGCCGUAA